RNAcentral lists this ribosomal RNA (497 nucleotides) under uncultured bacterium. RNAcentral describes it as "partial 16S ribosomal RNA". It matches the Rfam family "Bacterial small subunit ribosomal RNA", at positions 28 to 507 of the family's 1533-position model. The record is from RNAcentral.
GAUGAACGCUGGCGGCGUGCCUAAUACAUGCAAGUCGAGCGAACGGACGAGAAGCUUGCUCCUCUGAUGUUAGCGGCGGACGGGUGAGUAACACGUGGAUAACCUACCUAUAAGACUGGGAUAACUUCGGGAAACCGGAGCUAAUACCGGAUAAUAUUUUGAACCGCAUGGUUCAAAAGUGAAAGACGGUAUUGCUGUCACUUAUAGAUGGAUCCGCGCUGCAUUAGCUAGUUGGUAAGGUAACGGCUUACCAAGGCAACGAUGCGUAGCCGACCUGAGAGGGUGAUCGGCCACACUGGAACUGAGACACGGUCCAGACUCCUACGGGAGGCAGCAGUAGGGAAUCUUCCGCAAAGGGCGAAAGCCUGACGGAGCAACGCCGCGUGAGUGAUGAAGGUCUUCGGAUCGUAAAACUCUGUUAUUAGGGAAGAACAUAUGUGUAAGUAACUGUGCACAUCUUGACGGUACCUAAUCAGAAAGCCACGGCUAACUACGUG